ACGGAGGAUUCAAGCGUUAUCCGGAUUUAUUGGGUUUAAAGGGUGCGUAGGCGGUUUGAUAAGUUAGAGGUGAAAUCCCGGGGCUUAACUCCGGAACUGCCUCUAAUACUGUUAGACUAGAGAGUAGUUGCGGUAGGCGGAAUGUAUGGUGUAGCGGUGAAAUGCUUAGAGAUCAUACAGAACACCGAUUGCGAAGGCAGCUUACCAAACUAUAUCUGACGUUGAGGCACGAAAGCGUGGGGAGCAAACAG
RNAcentral lists this ribosomal RNA (251 nucleotides) under uncultured bacterium. Its description in RNAcentral is "partial 16S ribosomal RNA". It matches the Rfam family "Bacterial small subunit ribosomal RNA", at positions 525 to 775 of the family's 1533-position model. The record is from RNAcentral.